ACAGCAUCUGAGAUGCCUUGCAGCUACAUUAUCGAGCAUGCAAAUGAUUCCCACUAGAGAGGAGAAGGGAAAACAAAACAAAAAAACAAAGCCAUCACAGGUCCAUUUAAUGUUCCUGUGGAAGAACAAUGCCUUCCCAAGAAGAUGUCCCUGGAUUCUGUCACUGUGUUGGAAUAUAUGAUAGAAGAAGUUUAAGUUUGUAUGGAAAUGACGACUCGGAUAAAAUAGCUCCAUGUUGCUUCUCUCCUUUCUGUGACAAAACAUCCAACAAAAGCAACUUCAGGGAGAACAUGUUUAUUUUGCGUCAUCGUUUGAGGAUACAGGCUAUCAUGACAGAGAAACCAUGGUACCAGGAGCUUGACGCCCCUGGCUACAAUGCAUCUAGAGUCAGAAAACAAGAGAGAAGAAUGUUGGUAUUCAGCUAGAUUUCUUCUUUAUACCAUUGUGUGUUCUGCUCAUAGUCAGGGUGGGUCUUCCUACCUCCCUGUUGUCCUGUAAAUGCCCCUAUAAACAUACUCAGAAGC
This 524-nucleotide long non-coding RNA is filed under the name Mus caroli (Ryukyu mouse). Its description in RNAcentral is "predicted gene 5833 (MGP_CAROLIEiJ_G0004515.1)". The record is from RNAcentral. Lineage: Eukaryota; Metazoa; Chordata; Mammalia; Rodentia; Muridae.